GACGAACGCUGGCGGCGUGCUUAACACAUGCAAGUCGAACGGAAAGGCCCUGCUUUUGUGGGGUGCUCGAGUGGCGAACGGGUGAGUAACACGUGAGUAACCUGCCCUUGACUUUGGGAUAACUUCAGGAAACUGGGGCUAAUACCGGAUAGGAGCUCCUGCUGCAUGGUGGGGGUUGGAAAGUUUCGGCGGUUGGGGAUGGACUCGCGGCUUAUCAGCUUGUUGGUGGGGUAGUGGCUUACCAAGGCUUUGACGGGUAGCCGGCCUGAGAGGGUGACCGGCCACAUGGGGACUGAGAUACGGACCAGACGCCAACGGGAGGCAGCAGUGGGGAAUAUUGCAGAAUGGGCGGAAGCCUGAUGCAGAAACGCCGCGUGCGGGAUGACGGGCUUCGGGUUGUAAACCGCUUUCGCCGGUGACGAGGCGUGAGUGACGGUAAUGGAUAAAGAAGCACCGGCUAACUACGUG
RNAcentral lists this ribosomal RNA (468 nucleotides) under uncultured bacterium. RNAcentral's name for it is "partial 16S ribosomal RNA". It matches the Rfam family "Bacterial small subunit ribosomal RNA", at positions 28 to 507 of the family's 1533-position model. The record is from RNAcentral.